This 900-nucleotide long non-coding RNA is filed under the name Sus scrofa (pig). RNAcentral describes it as "lncRNA (ENSSSCG00035024261.1)". The record is from RNAcentral. Lineage: Eukaryota; Metazoa; Chordata; Mammalia; Artiodactyla; Suidae.
AUGGGACUCAGGAGACAGGAGGCAGGGGGAGGCCUGGGGGGUGGGGGCGGCCGCCGGGCAUCUGGGCCUCUCCCUCCCCUGGCACCACCGCACCCCGCACCCCUCCCACACACACCCUCGCCGGAAAGUUCCCCAGCCCAGGCCGGGCUCCCAGGCAGCUUGGCACCGUGCCAGGCUCGCCGCCGAGCGCGGGCAGCCGGGUGGGGCGAGCGGCGGCGGCACCGAGGACAUGGCCGGGCGCCCUGGGCGCGAGCAGGACCCAAGGCCGGGAGGCCGGGGCCCAGAAGAAGGCGGCUGGUCCCAGAGCACCUCGGAGAAAGCGGACGCCUGUCUUGGCCUUUGGAAGACGCUCAAGGACCACGUGGCCGGGUCCACGGUCUCUGCCCUGCGCCUCGAGGGCGAGGCAGCCCAGGUCUUGCCCUUCUUGCCGUCCACUUCGCCCCCAGCCGACGCCUGGAGCUUGAGGUGACUGAGCGCUCUCAGGCCAGCUCGGCCCUGGACCUGCUCGGCUCUGGACCUGCCCAUCUCCGUCAACGCACGAGGCCCCCGUGCCCCAGGUCAAGAAGUGGCGCCAAGGGGGGAGCUUCUGUCCGAGGCCAGCCUUCCUUCCGGCUGGACUUGGCCUGCACGAGCCACGGUCUGUGUCGCAGGGUGUCUGGAUGGAAGAGCAGCACUGGGCCCCGUCUCCCUCUCCGCCCUGAGGACCCGCCGUUCCUGGCUCCCAGGCAGGUGCGCCUGCCCCCCUCCCAACCCCAGGCUCACCCUGCCCCCUUCUCUCCACCCGGCCGGGCGCCAGCCCUCGACCUGCUGCCAGCUGUCAACAUGCGACGCACACAGGGAGCAGCCGCGGCUGUGUUUGUCAGGACCGGACACCAGAGCUCCCUCUGCAGUCGUGGGUGA